This 405-nucleotide ribosomal RNA is filed under the name uncultured bacterium. RNAcentral describes it as "bacterial SSU rRNA". It matches the Rfam family "Bacterial small subunit ribosomal RNA", at positions 356 to 776 of the family's 1533-position model. The record is from RNAcentral.
GGGGAAUAUUACACAAUGGGGGAAACCCUGAUGCAGCGACGCCGCGUGAAGGAAGAAGUAUUUCGGUAUGUAAACUUCUAUCAGCAGGGAAGAAGAAAGACGGUACCUGACUAAGAAGCUCCGGCUAAAUACGAGCCAGCAGCCGCGGUAAUACGUAUGGAGCAAGCGUUACCCGGAUUUACUGGGUGGAAAGGGUGCGCAGGUGGCAUGGGAAGUCAGAAGUGAAAACCCGGGGCUCAACCCCGCGGAUUGCUUUUGAAACUAUCAGGCUGGAGUCCGGGAGAGGUAAGCGGAAUUCCUAGUGUAGCGGUGAAAUGCGUAGAUAUUAGGAGGAACACCAGUGGCGAAGGCGGCUUACUGGACCGGGACUGACACUGAGGCACGAAAGCGUGGGGAGCAAACAGG